RNAcentral lists this ribosomal RNA (358 nucleotides) under Staphylococcus aureus. RNAcentral's name for it is "partial 23S ribosomal RNA". It matches the Rfam family "Bacterial large subunit ribosomal RNA", at positions 1603 to 1962 of the family's 2925-position model. Lineage: Bacteria; Bacillati; Bacillota; Bacilli; Caryophanales; Staphylococcaceae. The record is from RNAcentral.
CACUGCCGAGAAAAGCCUCUAGAUAGAAAAUAGGUGCCCGUACCGCAAACCGACACAGGUAGUCAAGAUGAGAAUUCUAAGGUGAGCGAGCGAACUCUCGUUAAGGAACUCGGCAAAAUGACCCCGUAACUUCGGGAGAAGGGGUGCUCUUUAGGGUUAACGCCCAGAAGAGCCGCAGUGAAUAGGCCCAAGCGACUGUUUAUCAAAAACACAGGUCUCUGCUAAACCGUAAGGUGAUGUAUAGGGGCUGACGCCUGCCCGGUGCUGGAAGGUUAAGAGGAGUGGUUAGCUUCUGCGAAGCUACGAAUCGAAGCCCCAGUAAACGGCGGCCGUAACUAUAACGGUCCUAAGGUAGCGA